CACGUAGGGCGCAAGCGUUGUCCGGAAUUAUUGGGCGUAAAGGGCGCGUAGGCGGCGUGACAAGUCACUUGUGAAAUCUCCGGGCUUAACUCGGAGCGGCCAAGUGAUACUGUCGUGCUAGAGUGCGGAAGGGGCUACUGGAAUUCUCGGUGUAGCGGUGAAAUGCGUAGAUAUCGAGAGGAACACCUGCGGCGAAGGCGGGUAGCUGGGCCGACACUGACGCUGAGGCGCGAAAGCUAGGGGAGCGAACGGG
This 253-nucleotide ribosomal RNA is filed under the name uncultured bacterium. Its description in RNAcentral is "partial 16S ribosomal RNA". It matches the Rfam family "Bacterial small subunit ribosomal RNA", at positions 524 to 776 of the family's 1533-position model. The record is from RNAcentral.